Non-coding RNA from Miniopterus natalensis, 1528 nucleotides. NCBI's taxonomy places the organism in Eukaryota, Metazoa, Chordata, Mammalia, Chiroptera, Miniopteridae. The record is from RefSeq and is a predicted model, not a curated record.
AAGAUUUGUUGAGCACCUGAAUGAAUGAAGCAGGCGUUAUGUAUUUAACGUUGUUUUUCAAGCUACUAAGGUUUAUUUAUAUUUAUUUCUUAAAUUGUCAGCUGUCAUAAAUAGAAAGAAAAUGUAAAAAUUAAAAAUAAAAUGAUACUGAAUUCUAAAUAGGUCCAAACGCUGAGUGUGAUGCUUAACACGUGGCAGGAGAGGCCUUAAAGCAUCACACUGAGACUUCCUCUAAGAGGAAGCACUGAAAGAAAAUGACAGCGCAGGUGAGCCUCACAGUAGCUGAUGUUAUUCAAGGUGUUUCCCUGCCACCUAGAACCCUCUCAGGCACCACCAGCAAUAAUGAGCUUUCUUAUCUGCAGAAGCCCUCCUUGUGGAGAUGAGCAGGUCGGCUGAGAAGAAGUUGUGAGCCCAUUUUACAGGUGAGGUGGAAAGAAGGUCAUCCCUGAGCUGAACGUCUAGGGUUAACUCUGCGCCAAGCUCUUGCUCCUAACGGCCUGAUGUCUCAUGCGAAGAAGCAGUGUUAGAAGAAGUGCCUGGAUGCUUGUGAGGGAUGCUUUUCACUUUCAGAAGUUGAAGAGAGUUUUAGAUGUGGAAACUCCAAAAUAGCUUGAUCUAAGAAAUUGAACCAGCGGAUACUGAUGAUAACAAAAGAAACCAACAAAAUCUCUGGAGAGAUUGGGAAAGGACAACGUGAACUUGUUACAGGUUUUCUACUGACUUGCAGGAUGACUCUGGCCAAGUCCCAAGAGACCCAGACACACAGGGGGAACCCUAAAGCUUUUGAUACAACUUCUCUCGACAGCAUUUGCAGUUCAAAUUCUGGCUGCCCAAGCAAAAACGUCAGAGUUCUCAUUAAAGGAAACGAAGCAAGUCUCUAGGAGAGAUUUUUGGCUCAGUUUUUCUCUGAACUAUACAACUGGGCAAUAUUCUCAGCCACUCCUUUCCCAAGUCACUUUCUCCUGCCUGAAUUAAGAAACCCAGUUUGAUGGACCUGGAAAGAAAAUGAUUCAUAAUGACUGUGGUUUAUAGAUGUAUUUUUUAAAUUAGCUCCAUGUGAGCCAAGGUCCCCAAUUCUUGCUCUUGUCAAGGGAGGGCCAUUUUGACAGGUCCUGCCAGGAGCCCCUGUGGGCUGGUUACUAAAUGUCUUCCUUUGUUCUUGAUUUCAUCCAGGGGCAGGAGACUGCAGGUGCCAAGAUGCACUGCAGUCAGGCUUCCUGCAGAGCCCUGAGACCUGAGGUCCCCUGGCCUCAAUUCAAUAAAAGAUAAACCUCCUCUCUUCCCCCUACCUGGGGACACUCUGCAAAGGGCCUCAUCUAUUUUUCUACCAGGGGCAGCAGUCAGACACCAGCCAGGCAGGCAGGGGAUCCUGGCCAGGUUCCUGACUCAGAGCAUCCUCUGUCUCUUAGCCCCCUGAGCUCCUGGGCCCUCACUCUGCCCUCACUAAGCCCUCCCUGCCCAGCAGCAAACAAUCAGUUGCUGGCUGCUCCCCCCAGCCCCGCUGGCUGCCAAUCAGCCCAGCUAUAGG